AACCUGCCUGGCAUUAAGUUGUUGGGUUUGGUGAAAACCAUCGUUUACUGUGAAAAAAUUAGAGUGUUCAAAGCAGACUUAUGUCGUUGAAUACAUUAGCAUGGAAUAAUAAUAUAGGACUUUUGUACUAUUUUGUUGGUUAGGUGCAAAAGUAAUGAUCAACAGGGACAGUUGGGCAUAUUCGUAUUUCGUUGCUAGAGGUGAAAUUCUUGGAUUUCCGAAAGACGAACUACUGCGAAAGCAUUUAUGAAGGAUGUUUUCAUUAAUCAAGAGCGAAAGUUAGGGGAUCGAAGAUGAUUAGAUACCAUCGUAGUCGUCAUAGCUGUUUCCUG
RNAcentral lists this ribosomal RNA (332 nucleotides) under Lauderia sp. Its description in RNAcentral is "SSU rRNA". It matches the Rfam family "Eukaryotic small subunit ribosomal RNA", at positions 708 to 1048 of the family's 1831-position model. Lineage: Eukaryota; Bacillariophyta; Thalassiosirophyceae; Thalassiosirales; Lauderiaceae. The record is from RNAcentral.